This 253-nucleotide ribosomal RNA is filed under the name uncultured bacterium. RNAcentral's name for it is "partial 16S ribosomal RNA". It matches the Rfam family "Bacterial small subunit ribosomal RNA", at positions 524 to 776 of the family's 1533-position model. The record is from RNAcentral.
UACGUAGGGUGCGAGCGUUGUCCGGAAUUAUUGGGCGUAAAGAGCUCGUAGGCGGUUUGUCGCGUCGGCCGUGAAAACUUGGGGCUUAACCCCGAGCCUGCGGUGGAUACGGGCAGACUAGAGGUAGGUAGGGGAGAAUGGAAUUCCCGGUGUAGCGGUGAAAUGCGCAGAUAUCGGGAGGAACACCGGUGGCGAAGGCGGUUCUCUGGACCGAUACUGACGCUGAGGCGCGAAAGCGUGGGGAGCAAACAGG